UGGGGAAUAUUGCACAAUGGGCGCAAGCCUGAUGCAGCCAUGCCGCGUGUAUGAAGAAGGCCUUCGGGUUGUAAAGUACUUUCAGCGAGGAGGAAGGCGUUGUGGUUAAUAACCGCAGCGAUUGACGUUACUCGCAGAAGAAGCACCGGCUAACUCCGUGCCAGCAGCCGCGGUAAUACGGAGGGUGCAAGCGUUAAUCGGAAUUACUGGGCGUAAAGCGCACGCAGGCGGUCUGUCAAGUCGGAUGUGAAAUCCCCGGGCUCAACCUGGGAACUGCAUCCGAAACUGGCAGGCUAGAGUCCUGUAGAGGGGGGUAGAAUUCCAGGUGUAGCGGUGAAAUGCGUAGAGAUCUGGAGGAAUACCGGUGGCGAAGGCGGCCCCCUGGACAAAGACUGACGCUCAGGUGCGAAAGCGUGGGGAGCAAACA
RNAcentral lists this ribosomal RNA (427 nucleotides) under uncultured bacterium. RNAcentral describes it as "partial 16S ribosomal RNA". It matches the Rfam family "Bacterial small subunit ribosomal RNA", at positions 355 to 774 of the family's 1533-position model. The record is from RNAcentral.